RNAcentral lists this ribosomal RNA (253 nucleotides) under uncultured bacterium. RNAcentral describes it as "partial 16S ribosomal RNA". It matches the Rfam family "Bacterial small subunit ribosomal RNA", at positions 524 to 776 of the family's 1533-position model. The record is from RNAcentral.
UACGUAGGGUGCGAGCGUUAUUCGGAAUUACUGGGCGUAAAGCGUGCGCAGGCGGUGAUGUAAGACAGAUGUGAAAUCCCCGGGCUCAACCUGGGAAUUGCAUUCGAGACUGAAUAGCUAGGGUACGGUAGAGGGAAGCGGAAUUUCCGGUGUAGCGGUGAAAUGCGUAGAUAUCGGAAGGAACAUCAGUGGCGAAAGCGGCUUCCUGGACCAGUACCGACGUUCAGGCACGAAAGCGUGGGGAGCAAACAGG